UGUGUCUGCUUUCUCUUCAGUUCGUAUAAAUCUUUUGCCUUUUACUAAAGAUUUCCCCUUUUAGAAUUUCUGAAUCCCCUGACAUUUUCGUUUUGUGUCUGGUUCAUAAUAACACAC
This is a small nuclear RNA of Chelonoidis abingdonii (Abingdon island giant tortoise), 117 nucleotides long. RefSeq annotates it as U5 spliceosomal RNA. The record is from RefSeq and is a predicted model, not a curated record. NCBI's taxonomy places the organism in Eukaryota, Metazoa, Chordata, Testudines, Testudinidae.